GGGGUCGUAGCUCAGUGGUAGAUCACUCGCUUUGCAUGUGUGAGGCACUGGGUUCGAAUCUCAGCACCACA
Molecule: transfer RNA, 71 nt
Filed under: Marmota monax (woodchuck)
Lineage: Eukaryota; Metazoa; Chordata; Mammalia; Rodentia; Sciuridae
Description: tRNA.Ala
Rfam family: tRNA
About the family: Transfer RNA (tRNA) molecules are approximately 80 nucleotides in length. Their secondary structure includes four short double-helical elements and three loops (D, anti-codon, and T loops). Further hydrogen bonds mediate the characteristic L-shaped molecular structure. tRNAs have two regions of fundamental functional importance: the anti-codon, which is responsible for specific mRNA codon recognition, and the 3' end, to which the tRNAs corresponding amino acid is attached (by aminoacyl-tRNA synthetases). tRNAs cope with the degeneracy of the genetic code in two manners: having more than one tRNA (with a specific anti-codon) for a particular amino acid; and 'wobble' base-pairing, i.e. permitting non-standard base-pairing at the 3rd anti-codon position.
Source: RNAcentral